UCUGCCGUUAACACGUAAACAAAUCGAACUUUAGUAUCGGGGUGUACCUGUGAGGGGGGUGGUACUCACAGGGCACGCCCUAAUUCUUGAAUUUUAUUUGAUAGGCAUUUGGCUCAUGUAUUUUAAAUACAUAUGAUAUGAGUGUUUUUGUAUUUUCGAAAUACUUUGUGUCAGUCAGCCUAUUUUUCAGACACGUUACCCCAAAUCCCAACAUUCAUGCACAUGAUCUACAGCUGUACGACUCGUGACUUUUCUGGAAUAAGAGUUCAGAGGAACAGGACAGAAAUGAGGAUAGUGGAGAGGAAAAGCAGAUGUUGGACAGGAAAAGGAAUCCCAGGUCAUCAUGGGACAGGAGAGAGGAGCAAGACAAGGGAGCAAUGGCUUAAUAUAAAGGACUGUCCGGUUGCCCGGGGCCAUUGUGAGGGACGUUUGGGCCAGUAAACAGUCUUGAUUGGGCCAGUGCUUCACCCUUGGACAUUAACAAAUAUAUAUUUCUAUAUAAUGAGG
Paramisgurnus dabryanus is the source of this 507-nucleotide non-coding RNA. NCBI's taxonomy places the organism in Eukaryota, Metazoa, Chordata, Actinopteri, Cypriniformes, Cobitidae. The record is from RefSeq and is a predicted model, not a curated record.